Molecule: ribosomal RNA, 440 nt
Filed under: uncultured bacterium
Lineage: Bacteria
Description: bacterial SSU rRNA
Rfam family: Bacterial small subunit ribosomal RNA
Source: RNAcentral
CCUACGGGGGGCUGCAGUGGGGAAUAUUGCACAAUGGGGGAAACCCUGAUGCAGCAACGCCGCGUGAGCGAAGAAGGCCUUCGGGUCGUAAAGCUCUGUCCUCAGGGAAGAAACAUGACGGUACCUUAGGAGGAAGCCCCGGCUAACUACGGGCCAGCAGCCGGGGCAAUACGAAGGGGGCGAGAGUUAUCCGGAAUCACUGGGCGUAAGGGGUGCGUAGGCGGCCAAUUAAGCCGGGGGUGAAAGGCUACGGCCAAACCGGAGUAAGCCCUUGGAACUGAAUGGCUUGAGGGCAGGAGAGAGGAGUGGAAUUCCUAGUGUAGCGGUGAAAUGCGUAGAUAUUAUGAGGAACACCAGUGGCGAAGGCGACUCUCUGGACUGUAACUGACGCUGAGGCACGAAAGCGUGGGGAGCAAACAGGAUUAGAUACCCCAGUAGUC